GGAGGGUUGGCCGAGUGGUUGAUGGCGCCAGUCUUGAAAACUGGAGACGCGCAAGCGUUCGGGGGUUCGAAUCCCUCACCCUCCGCCA
Molecule: transfer RNA, 88 nt
Filed under: Geothrix sp.
Lineage: Bacteria; Pseudomonadati; Acidobacteriota; Holophagae; Holophagales; Holophagaceae
Description: tRNA-Ser
Rfam family: tRNA
About the family: Transfer RNA (tRNA) molecules are approximately 80 nucleotides in length. Their secondary structure includes four short double-helical elements and three loops (D, anti-codon, and T loops).
Source: RNAcentral